Long non-coding RNA from Cydia amplana, 353 nucleotides. RefSeq lists it as uncharacterized. Lineage: Eukaryota; Metazoa; Arthropoda; Insecta; Lepidoptera; Tortricidae. The record is from RefSeq and is a predicted model, not a curated record. The transcript is spliced from 2 exons.
AAUACAUAAAAAGCGGCCAAGUGCGAGUCGGACUCGCUCAUGAAGGGUUCCGCGAUUUAUGACGUAUUAAAAAAAAACUACUUACUAGAUCUCGUUCAAACCAAUUUUCGGUGGAAGUUUGCAUGGUAAUGUAUAUCAUAUAUUUUUUUUUAGUUUUAUUAUUCUCUUAUUUUAGAAGUUACAGGGGGGGGGGACACACAUUUUACCACUUUGGAAGUGUCUCUCGCGCAAACUAUUCAGUUUAGAAAAAUUUUUUAUUAGAAACCUCAAUAUCAUUUUUGAAGACCUAUCCAUAGAGACCCCACACGUAUGGGUUUGAUGAAAAAAAAUUUUUUGAGUUUCAGUUCUAAGUA